This 254-nucleotide ribosomal RNA is filed under the name uncultured bacterium. RNAcentral's name for it is "partial 16S ribosomal RNA". It matches the Rfam family "Bacterial small subunit ribosomal RNA", at positions 524 to 776 of the family's 1533-position model. The record is from RNAcentral.
CACGUAGGGGGCGAGCGUUGUCCGGAUUUAUUGGGCGUAAAGAGCUCGUAGGUGGUUCGGUAAGUCGGGUGUGAAACCUCCAGGCUCAACCUGGAGACGCCACCCGAUACUGCUGUGACUAGAGUCCAGUAGGGGAGCGUGGAAUUCCUGGUGUAGCGGUGAAAUGCGCAGAUAUCAGGAGGAACACCAGUGGCGAAGGCGGGUCUCUGGACAGUUCCUGACGCUGAGGCACGAAGGCCAGGGGAGCAAACGGG